GACGAACGCUGGCGGCGUGCCUAAUACAUGCCAGUUGAGCGCUGAAGGUUGGUACUUGUACCGACUGGAUGAGCAGCGAACGGGUGAGUAACGCGUGGGGAAUCUGCCUUUGAGCGGGGGACAACAUUUGGAAACGAAUGCUAAUACCGCAUAAAAACUUUAAUCACAAGUUUUAAGUUUGAAAGAUGCAAUUGCAUCACUCAAAGAUGAUCCCGCGUUGUAUUAGCUAGUUGGUGAGGUAAAGGCUCACCAAGGCGAUGAUACAUAGCCGACCUGAGAGGGUGAUCGGCCACAUUGGGACUGAGACACGGCCCAAACUCCUACGGGAGGCAGCAGUAGGGAAUCUUCGGCAAUGGACGAAAGUCUGACCGAGCAACGCCGCGUGAGUGAAGAAGGGUUUCGGAUCGUAAAACUCUGUUGGUAGAGAAGAACGUUGGUGAGAGUGGAAAGCUCAUCAAGUGACGGUAACUACCCAGAAAGGGACGGCUAACUACGUG
This 497-nucleotide ribosomal RNA is filed under the name uncultured bacterium. Its description in RNAcentral is "partial 16S ribosomal RNA". It matches the Rfam family "Bacterial small subunit ribosomal RNA", at positions 28 to 507 of the family's 1533-position model. The record is from RNAcentral.